AGAGUUUGAUCCUGGCUCAGGACGAACGCUGGCGGCGUGCCUAAUACACUGCAAGUUGAACGAUGAUUUCUGGUACUUGUAUCAUGAAUGAAGAGUAGCGAACGGGUGAGUAACGCGUGGGUAACCUACCUCUUAGCGGGGGACAACUAUUGGACAACGAUAGCUAAUACCGCAUAACAAUAUUAAACACAUGUUUAAUAUUUGAAAGUACCAAUUGGUACACUAGGAGAUGGACCCGCGUUGUAUUAGCUAGUUGGUAGUGUAAUGGACUACCAAGGCGAUGAUACAUAGCCGACCUGAGAGGGUGAUCGGCCACAUUGGGACUGAGACACGGCCCAAACUCCUACGGGAGGCAGCAGUAGGGAAUCUUCGGCAAUGGACGAAAGUCUGACCGAACAACGCCGCGUGAGUGAAGAAGGUUUUCGGAUCGUAAAACUCUGUUGUUAGAGAAGAGCGUUGUGUAGAGUGGAAAAUUACACAAGUGACGGUAUCUAACCAGAAAGGGACGGCUAACUACGUGCCAGCAGCCGCGGUAAUACGUAGGUCCCGAGCGUUGUCCGGAUUUAUUGGGCGUAAAGCGAGCGCAGGUGGUUUAAUAAGUCUGAUGUAAAAGGCAGUGGCUCAACCAUUGUGUGCAUUGGAAACUGUUAGACUUGAGUGCAGUAGAGGAGAGUGGAAUUCCAUGUGUAGCGGUGAAAUGCGUAGAUAUAUGGAGGAACACCGGUGGCGAAAGCGGCUCUCUGGACUGUAACUGACACUGAGGCUCGAAAGCGUGGGUAGCAAACAGGAUUAGAUACCCUGGUAGUCCACGCCGUAAACGAUGAGUGCUAGUUGUUUGGGGCUAUCCAGCCCUAAGUGACGCAGCA
RNAcentral lists this ribosomal RNA (866 nucleotides) under uncultured bacterium. Its description in RNAcentral is "bacterial SSU rRNA". It matches the Rfam family "Bacterial small subunit ribosomal RNA", at positions 8 to 853 of the family's 1533-position model. The record is from RNAcentral.